GCUCACUCUGUUCUCCAGUCUUGUUACGUGGAUUUCUCUCUCUCCGAGUAAUUUCUCAGCAUCCCCUUGAAUGGCAUCUACCACACAUAACUUUUCCAACCCACAAGGCUGAAGCAACUUCCCAUAGCUGAAAUGACUCCAGCACAGCUAUUCCCUAGAAGACAUCCUCCCUGAUUUCUUGUGGGGCCUGUAAGAUGACUGAAGUUCUAGAACAGCAAAGACAUGGAAAAGGCAUUGAGGUCCUAUUGCUCCUGUCGGAAAUUUCUGCUGACUACAGCAUGAGUUGGAUUGGGCCCAGAGAAACCAAAUACACACAAGUAACAAUGAGUUGGCCAUACAAGCAAGGAAAAUCACAGAUAACAGGUGCACACAAAUUAGCAAUGUACCUUUUAGGUCAUCCAGUACAGCUCCCUGACACCGUGAGAUUGUUUCCUAUGGCAUAUUUUCGGUUGUUUUGUGUGCCUAGAUUAAAUGUCCUAAGUGAUGCCAUGUCCCUAGGGAGAGAUUGUGCUGCCUGGAGUAUCUUGUUGUCAGAAGUUUUUUUUCCUUUCUUAACAUCAUCAUAUUUCUCCUAGUUAUGUCCCUUCGCAGAUCUCCCUCUUUUCCUUCAUUGAUGCUAUUUUCCUCCACUAUUUUUUAACUAGCGUGAUAUUGUGUUUAUUUAGCAUUAAGCCAACCCAUAGCUAUUUAGCUCAUUUAAUCUUCCCUAACAAAUCCGUCCUUCCAGUCUCCUGGUUAUUCUUCCUCUCCUCUUGUCACACUCCUGCCUGUCAGUAUCUUUUUUAGUUAUGGGAUUUUGAAGAUGUGAUGCAUUUCGCUGGACUGAUGACAGAUCUGGUAUAGAGCUGAGCACCCUCAAUGUCUUCCCACUGAAAAACCAUCCUGAUGUGCUCGGGAGAAAGCUGCCAGGGUUCUGGACAGACACACAGGUAGACUAUCUUGCUCAAACCACUUCCUUGGUGCCACUUAUUCUAUUGGCCAACUAAACCCUAUUAAAACAGUUAACCUAGUAGUUCAAAAAACAAAUACAUGUCGUUACGGAUGUAUUUUAUUUCUCACAAUGUUAGGAGAGAAAGUAGCACAGAUAAAAAGGUCUUUGUUGCUGUUGUUGAGAUUUUCUGACUCUUGGUCGUGGACAACACAGUCUAAAAUUAUGGAAGACGUCAUCUUCCAUAACUGUGUCUGACUGUUAGGAGAGUACAUUGUAGAAAGUAAUUAUAUACAUAGUCAGAAGCCUAGCUGCUCACUUCAGGCAAUAAAUUUUGAUCAACAAACAGCACUCCUUUAGUGCUAAAUGAGAUCUUGGUUGUAAUUGAAUGUCUUUACCUUUGUGUUCUGUUGGAUUGGAGGAAUAUCAUCUUAAUCUGCUCUCUUUAAAUUUUCAUUAAGGAACGUUUCAGCUACCUGCAGCCUCAUCUGAUGAUGUUUAAUGAUAUCAGCUAGCUCGGUCUUCCGUGCACCAGCAGGGGCUUCUUUAAAUUGGUCAAAUGUACGGAACAUUGUUUUCAAAUUUAAUGUACUUGGAAUCAACCUUUUAAAAUAAUGGCAUCUCUAAAGUCAGUUUAUAUACAUAGUGCACACACAUGCAUGCAUUUAUACGUGCAUGUGUGUGUAUGCAUAUAUAUAUGUGCGUCAGUGCACACACGUACAGAAACGCUGAUCCUAUUCACCUUCUUGAAACCAUUUCAGCUAGUAUUAACAUAAAUGUGCUGUUAAAUUGGCAGUGUUAUACAUUUUUGUUGGAGUUUACUUCUGUAACAUAAAAUCGGAAAGAUAAGCUGUGAAACUCAUGCAGCUGAUGACAUAAUGCUAGGAUCUCGUGAUGCUGAAUCUCAUAUUUCUAGGAGUGUGGGAUGGAUGUUCCUUGCUGAAAUAAUUAUACUGCCUAUUGCAAUAUAUGUUUCCUUGUUUUCAUGUGGGCACUGAGAUGUCCAAACCAUUAAACGCAUAUGGUAUAAUAAGUCCUGUGUUCCUUAUUUAUUCUGAAGAAGGCAUUAACUUUCUAUGGUUGUUUUAUUGUAUAAUAAAGCCAACUACUCUAAGAAUCUGUGACGAACAUAGCAAUAAUCUGUGACAAUAUGCAUAUUUACAUUUAAUAAUGGUGUCCAAAUGUACAUAUGUGCAUAUAAAUAUGCACACACACAUAUAUAUAUAUAUACACAAACACACAUAGAGACACAUGUACACAAAUUAAAUGGAACCAAUUAGAAUGUGGCAUAAAUAGAUUCAAAGCUUACCUGUUAUGGCUGUGUGAAGGGAUAAUUUGAGCUACAAAGACAUGCAAGAAAGCAUAGCUCAAUACACUCCAUUGGCUUGUUCCCAUUAUGCUCAACAGCGACAGGCUGUAUGCUAAGACGGGGUACCAGCAGACAUUCGUAAUGACAGCUGGUUCAAAACAGAGCUUUCAAAAUAGUGCAACACCCCUAACUUCCUUCCAAAUCUUGGUGUUUGCCAGCACUUAACUGAGGCUGGUUCUUAAGGUCAGAUGUUCAGAUAAAAGUUAUUCGGAAAGAAUCUGGUUCUUUAUGUUUGAACUGUUUAUAUAUUCAACAUACAGGCUCUUUGUUGCCCAUGAAUUUGCAUUUGCUCUCACACAUGGAUUAUGUUUGGCUACUACCUGCAAAAAUGAUGGAUGUUUCUCCCUGAUACCAUGCCCUAUUUGCCUGACAUUGUCUUCUAUCGAGUUCUCUAUGCUUUUGUGGGCUACAUAAACCAAGAUUCAGACAGUAGCUGUUUCUUUUUACUGGGACAAAAAAAUCACUUAGCCUCUCUGUUGAGAAAUGGAAGAAAAGUGGCUUCCCUUUAGCAUCACCCACAGCACACCCACUAUGCUCAGCCAACUAGGAACAGAGCAAAAAAAACCCUUCAGUUGUCCUGUGUGACUUUUCCUAGUGGAUGCGUAUAGAAUCUGGAAAUAAACACAUUCCUCCUUUGGAAGGAAAUGCGAACGGG
RNAcentral lists this long non-coding RNA (2952 nucleotides) under Aquila chrysaetos chrysaetos. Its description in RNAcentral is "lncRNA (ENSACCG00020012592.1)". Lineage: Eukaryota; Metazoa; Chordata; Aves; Accipitriformes; Accipitridae. The record is from RNAcentral.